This 747-nucleotide ribosomal RNA is filed under the name uncultured Bacillota bacterium. RNAcentral's name for it is "bacterial SSU rRNA". It matches the Rfam family "Bacterial small subunit ribosomal RNA", at positions 61 to 812 of the family's 1533-position model. Lineage: Bacteria; Bacillati; Bacillota. The record is from RNAcentral.
GUCGAGUGCGCGGUUGUAGCAAUACAACUGGCGCACGGCGCACGGGUGCGUAACACGUGGGCAAUCUGCCCUCCGAUGGGGAAUAACCCCGCGAAAGCGGGGCUAAUUCCGCAUAACAUUCCCUGGACUCUGGUUCGGGGAUUCAAAGCAGCAAUGCGUCGGAGGAGGAGCCCGCGCCCGAUUAGCUAGUUGGUGAGGUAACGGCUCACCAAGGCAAUGAUCGGUAGCUGGUCUGAGAGGAUGGCCAGCCACACUGGAACUGAGACACGGUCCAGACUCCUACGGGAGGCAGCAGUGGGGAAUCUUGCGCAAUGGGCGAAAGCCUGACGCAGCGACGCCGCGUGGGGGAUGAAGCUUCUCGGAGUGUAAACCCCUUUCGACCGGGACGAAUGCCCGCAAGGGAGUGACGGUACCGGUAGAAGAAGCCCCGGCUAACUACGUGCCAGCAGCCGCGGUAAGACGUAGGGGGCCAGCGUUGUUCGGAAUUACUGGGUGUAAAGGGUUCGUAGGCGGUGUGGCAAGUCGGGAGUGAAAUUUCUGGGCUUAACCCAGAGGCUGCUUCCGAAACUGCUGUGCUCGAGUGUGGGAGAGGCGCGUGGAAUUGCAGGUGUAGCGGUGAAAUGCGUAGAUAUCUGCAGGAACACCCGUGGCGAAAGCGGCGCGCUGGACCACUACUGACGCUGAGGAACGAAAGCUAGGGGAGCAAACAGGAUUAGAUACCCUGGUAGUCCUAGCCCUAAACGAUCA